CUACGGGUGGCACCAGUGAGGAAUUUUGCGCAAUGGGGGAAACCCUGACGCAGCAACGCCGCGUGAGUGAUGAAGGCCUUCGGGUCGUAAAACUCUGUCAAGUGGGAAGAACCUAUGUAAGGUUAAUACCCUUAUGUACUGACGGUACCACUGAAGGAAGCACCGGCUAACUCCGUGCCAGCAGCCGCGGUAAUACGGAGGGUGCAAGCGUUAUUCGGGAUUAUUGGGCGUAAAGGGCGCGCAGGCGGUUUUGUAAGUCAGAUGUGAAAGCCCGGGGCUUAACCUCGGAAGUGCAUUUGAUACUGCAAGACUUGAGUAUGGGAGGGGGAAGUGGAAUUCCUGGUGUAGAGGUGAGAUUCGUAGAUAUCAGGAGGAACACCAGUGGCGAAGGCGACUUCCUGGACCAAUACUGACGCUGAGGCGCGAAGGCGUGGGGAGCAAACAGGAUUAGAUACCCCGGUAGUC
RNAcentral lists this ribosomal RNA (465 nucleotides) under uncultured bacterium. RNAcentral's name for it is "partial 16S ribosomal RNA". It matches the Rfam family "Bacterial small subunit ribosomal RNA", at positions 339 to 795 of the family's 1533-position model. The record is from RNAcentral.